CGUGCACAACAAGAGCGAUGUCGUCGCCAGACUUGGUUUCAUCCUCGGCUACUGCAACAGACCCAAAUUGCUGCUUCUUCAUCUUGGGACAGUGACUUCCAAUGUCCCUUCUCUUUGCAAUAGUUGCAAAUAUCAGAUGCUUUAGGACCCCUUGGAAACGACUUUUUAUCUUUCGAAGUCUUAUGUUCCCAUGUCCCUUCACACCACUGGCAAACAACCCCGAUGCUUGAUUGUCUGUCCCUAAGCUGGAUGCCUUAUGGCGCAAUUCCCGACUAUGAAGCGUCGACCUAACUUCUUCCAGUUUCACUGUACCUUUGCCAACAAUGAACGAUUGCACGAAGUUCUCGAAAGAGUUCGACAGAGAUACCAACAGGAUUAGUGUCGCGUCUUCAUCCCCCAC
This 400-nucleotide long non-coding RNA is filed under the name Brassica napus (rape). RNAcentral describes it as "long non-coding RNA (BNAP_LNC018610)". The record is from RNAcentral. Lineage: Eukaryota; Viridiplantae; Streptophyta; Magnoliopsida; Brassicales; Brassicaceae.